Molecule: long non-coding RNA, 2050 nt
Filed under: Lytechinus variegatus (green sea urchin)
Lineage: Eukaryota; Metazoa; Echinodermata; Echinoidea; Temnopleuroida; Toxopneustidae
Description: uncharacterized LOC121411914
Source: RNAcentral
GAGCAAUCAUAAAUGGCAAUGCGCCAGAUUUAAAAAACGAGAGGAGCUUUUUCGUGAAAUUUUCUUCCAAAUACAGGGGUAAUUUAGAGAGACAGAGCUUAUGACCUAGAGAAGAUUCCUAUCCAUGUUGAGAACUCAAUCGUUGAUGAUGGUGUCCCAACUGAUUUCCUUUACAUCAAGGACAACUGUGAACUCAGUCAAUGAUGAUGGCAUCAUCCCAGUGGACUUGCUCUACAUCAAAGACAACUGUGGGACAUGGUCAACAAUGAAAGCAUCCUGACAGAUUUCCUCUACUUCAGAGGCAGCUUAGAUCUCGGGUCAACAAUGAUGGGGUCCCAAAGGAUUUCCUCUAUGCCAAAGACAACUGUGAACUUGGUCAACAAUGAUGAUGUCCCAACAGAUUUCUUCUAUGCAAUGAGAAACAUAGCUCAUGGCCUAGAGAAGAUUUCUAUCCCUGUUGAGAAUUCAGGCAUUGAUGAUGGCAUCCAAGUGGAUGUCCCCUACAUCAAAGACAACUGUGAACUUGGUCAAUGGUGUUGUCGUCCCAACGGAUUUCCACUACAUCAAAGACAACUAUGAACAUGGGUUAUCAAUGAUGGUGACCCAUUGGAUGUCCUGUACACUAAAGAAAGCUGAACUUGGUCAACGAUGGUGGUAUCCCAGUGAAUGUCCUCUACAUCAAAGACAAAUUUUGUGAACUUGGUUAAUGGUGUUGUCGUCCCAACGGUUUUCCUCUUCAUCAAAGACAACUAUGAACAUGGGUUAUCAAUGAUGGUGACCCAUUGGAUGUCCUGUACACCAAACACAACUGUGAACUCAGUCAACGAUGAUGGUAUCCCAACAGAUUUCCUAUAGAUAUGUCAAGGACGACUUUGAGUUAUCAAGACCGAUAAUUGGCAGGAGUGGUUAACACUGCAGAAUUAUCGAAACACUGAAGCAGAGUCGGCAGCCUCAAACCAUGCUAACACUGAAAGUUUGCCAUGUUCCUCAUAACGGAACCCAAGUACCAGGGGGCAAUGUCGCCCUGAGGCCUGGGGGUGAGCUAGAAGCGAUACAUCUGCCGCUGGAUCUUUUACACAUGACGUGACUGUACCCAAACAUAAGGAAACAAGAAACGGAGAAGGGAAAGGUCGAUUGUCAGAGCUCUACUGCUGUAUGCAAGGCUACCAGAUAGCAAGGAUGGCAUCAUUCUAGAGGCAACAGAUGUCUCGGGAUCAACAGGAGGUUGUGACAGAUGACAAAGAUUGCUUGGAAGGUACUCUCCUUGUGCUUGUUGAUGAUCCCUUCCAAGAGAACUUCUAGUAUCACGUUCAAGACCAGGAGGUUUGAGAUCAUGCCUUGCAGCUCCAGAUCAGCAAAGCCUGUCGCACACUACACAAUCUUUUUGCAACCCAAUUUUGGAAGAAAAAAAUUGUAAUAGCGUUCAAUCUUAACUUCACAACUUAUUUUAUUAACAAAUAUCAAAAUUUCAAUUUCGAUCAACUAUGAGCCUCCUUUGAAGGAGUGAAAUUGGAUUCAAUUGCAAAUUGUAGCGAUGUCAUACAAAUCUUACCAUCAGCUACACUUUAAACCAGUUUAGAUUUUACUCGGACGAUAUGGCUUGCAGUGAAACAAUAUUUUGUUUUUUCAUGUUCCUGGCAUUAUUCCAAAUUUCUUAUAAGAUUAUUUUACUUUUUUAUCUUCCAUAGUUAAUGCAAAUAUAUGAUGUUUUAAAAAAUUGGGUCGCUGAUGGAUUACAUACACGUAUGUAUUGUGCGGUGGGCUUAACAGAACAUCAGAGAUCAAGAUUGAAACCAUGAGACCACGGGGGUGUUUCACAAAGAUGUAAGUAUGACUUAGAGUCGCACUUAAAUGCCAAGUUGCGUGCGGUAUAAAAGGCAUGACUGCAUUGGUCAUCAGAUUAUGCAAAGAGGACGCGCACUACUGCGUAUUGAUUAAUAAGAUUGCGCAUUGCAUAUCUUGUACGCAUCUUAAGUGUGACUCCAAGUCAUACUUAAAUCUUUGUGAAACACCCCCAGCUUUCAUAAAGGACAAGUCCACUGCAACAAAA